RNAcentral lists this ribosomal RNA (253 nucleotides) under uncultured prokaryote. RNAcentral describes it as "partial 16S ribosomal RNA". It matches the Rfam family "Bacterial small subunit ribosomal RNA", at positions 524 to 776 of the family's 1533-position model. The record is from RNAcentral.
GACGAGCCACACAAACGUUAUUCGGAUUUACUGGGCUUAAAGGGUGCGUAGGCGGCGCGGAAAGUUGGGUGUGAAAUCCCUCGGCUUAACCGAGGAACAGCGCCCAAAACUACCGUGCUCGAGGGAGAUAGAGGUGAGCGGAACUUAGGGUGGAGCGGUGAAAUGCGUUGAUAUCCUAAGGAACACCGGUGGCGAAAGCGGCUCACUGGAUCUCUUCUGACGCUGAUGCACGAAAGCUAGGGUAGCGAACGGG